RNAcentral lists this ribosomal RNA (400 nucleotides) under uncultured Clostridium sp. RNAcentral describes it as "bacterial SSU rRNA". It matches the Rfam family "Bacterial small subunit ribosomal RNA", at positions 356 to 774 of the family's 1533-position model. Lineage: Bacteria; Bacillati; Bacillota; Clostridia; Eubacteriales; Clostridiaceae. The record is from RNAcentral.
GGGGAAUAUUGCACAAUGGGCGAAAGCCUGAUGCAGCAACGCCGCGUGAGCGAUGAAGGCCUUCGGGUCGUAAAGCUCUGUCCUCAAGGAAGAUAAUGACGGUACUUGAGGAGGAAGCCCCGGCUAACUACGUGCCAGCAGCCGCGGUAAUACGUAGGGGGCUAGCGUUAUCCGGAAUUACUGGGCGUAAAGGGUGCGUAGGUGGUUUUUUAAGUCAGAAGUGAAAGGCUACGGCUCAACCGUAGUAAGCUUUUGAAACUAGAGAACUUGAGUGCAGGAGAGGAGAGUAGAAUUCCUAGUGUAGCGGUGAAAUGCGUAGAUAUUAGGAGGAAUACCAGUAGCGAAGGCGGCUCUCUGGACUGUAACUGACACUGAGGCACGAAAGCGUGGGGAGCAAACA